UGGGCAAUCUGCCCCUAGCUCUGGGAUAACUGCGGGAAACUGUAGCUAAUACCGGAUGUGACACGAGACUGCAUGGUCUUCGUGUGGAAAGAUUUAUCGGCUAGGGAUGGGCCCGCGGUCUAUCAGCUUGUUGGUGGGGUAAUGGCUCACCAAGGCGACGACGGAUAACCGGCCUGAGAGGGCGACCGGUCACACUGGGACUGAGACACGGCCCAGACU
RNAcentral lists this ribosomal RNA (219 nucleotides) under uncultured bacterium. RNAcentral's name for it is "partial 16S ribosomal RNA". It matches the Rfam family "Bacterial small subunit ribosomal RNA", at positions 118 to 337 of the family's 1533-position model. The record is from RNAcentral.